GGACCCGCACAAGUAGUGGAGCAUGUGGUUUAAUUCGAAGAUACGCGCAGAACCUUACCAACACUUGACAUGUUCGUCGCGACUCUAAGAGAUUAGAGUUUUCGGUUCGGCCGGACGAAACACAGGUGCUGCAUGGCUGUCGUCAGUUCGUGUCGUGAGAUGUUGGGUUAAGUCCCGCAACGAGCGCAACCCUCACUUUUAGUUGCCAUCAUUAAGUUGGGCACUCUGAAAGAACUGCCAGUGAUAAGCUGGAGGAAGGUGGGGAUGACGUCAAGUCCUCAUGGCCCUUACGUGUUGGGCUACACACGUGCUACAAUGGCAUCUACAACAGGAAGCAAGACUGCGAAGUU
RNAcentral lists this ribosomal RNA (350 nucleotides) under uncultured bacterium. Its description in RNAcentral is "bacterial SSU rRNA". It matches the Rfam family "Bacterial small subunit ribosomal RNA", at positions 917 to 1264 of the family's 1533-position model. The record is from RNAcentral.